GUGGGGAAUUUUGGACAAUGGGCGAAAGCCUGAUCCAGCCAUGCCGCGUGAGUGAAGAAGGCCUUCGGGUUGUAAAGCUCUUUCAGACGGAAAGAAAUUGCUCUGGAUAAUACCCGGAGUAGAUGACGGUACCGUAAGAAGAAGCACCGGCUAACUACGUGCCAGCAGCCGCGGUAAUACGUAGGGUGCGAGCGUUAAUCGGAAUUACUGGGCGUAAAGCGUGCGCAGGCGGUUAUAUAAGACAGAUGUGAAAUCCCCGGGCUUAACCUGGGAACUGCGUUUGUGACUGUAUAACUAGAGUACGGUAGAGGGGGGUGGAAUUCCUGGUGUAGCAGUGAAAUGCGUAGAUAUCAGGAGGAACAUCGAUGGCGAAGGCAGCCCCCUGGACCUGUACUGACGCUCAUGCACGAAAGCGUGGGGAGCAAACAGGAUUAGAAACCCUUGUAGUCC
RNAcentral lists this ribosomal RNA (450 nucleotides) under uncultured bacterium. RNAcentral's name for it is "bacterial SSU rRNA". It matches the Rfam family "Bacterial small subunit ribosomal RNA", at positions 354 to 796 of the family's 1533-position model. The record is from RNAcentral.